CGCCCUGGGUUAGUCGGGACCUAAGCUGAGGCCGAAAGGCGUAGGUGAUGGACAACAGGUUGAUAUUCCUGUACUACCGAUAACCGUUUGAGAGAAGGGAUGACACAGUAGGAUAAGCUAAGCACACUGGUGGUUAUGUGUGCCCAAGCAUUGAGGCAGUCAAAGUAGGCAAAUCCGCUUUGAUAAUGCUGGGAGGUGAUGGGGAGCGAAAUUUAGUAGCGAAGUAGCUGAUUUCACACUGUCAAGAAAAGUCUCUAUCGAGGUUAAAGGUACCCGUACCGC
This 282-nucleotide ribosomal RNA is filed under the name Clostridioides difficile. Its description in RNAcentral is "partial 23S ribosomal RNA". It matches the Rfam family "Bacterial large subunit ribosomal RNA", at positions 1371 to 1650 of the family's 2925-position model. The record is from RNAcentral. Lineage: Bacteria; Bacillati; Bacillota; Clostridia; Peptostreptococcales; Peptostreptococcaceae.